UACGGAGGAUCCAAGCGUUGUCCGGAUUUAUUGGGUUUAAAGGGUGCGUAGGUGGAUAAUUAAGUCAGGGGUGAAAGCCUGCAGCUCAACUGUAGAACUGCCCUUGAAACUGAUUAUCUUGAGUGCGGUUGAGGUAGGCGGAAUGUGUCAUGUAGCGGUGAAAUGCUUAGAUAUGAUACAGAACACCAAUUGCGAAGGCAGCUUACUAAACCGUAACUGACACUGAGGCACGAAAGCAUGGGGAGCAAACAGG
This 253-nucleotide ribosomal RNA is filed under the name uncultured bacterium. RNAcentral's name for it is "partial 16S ribosomal RNA". It matches the Rfam family "Bacterial small subunit ribosomal RNA", at positions 524 to 776 of the family's 1533-position model. The record is from RNAcentral.